This 225-nucleotide ribosomal RNA is filed under the name uncultured bacterium. RNAcentral describes it as "partial 16S ribosomal RNA". It matches the Rfam family "Bacterial small subunit ribosomal RNA", at positions 109 to 334 of the family's 1533-position model. The record is from RNAcentral.
AGUAACGCGUGGAUAACCUGCCUCACACUGGGGGAUAACAGUUAGAAAUGACUGCUAAUACCGCAUAAGCGCACAGUACCGCAUGGUACAGUGUGAAAAACUCCGGUGGUGUGAGAUGGAUCCGCGUCUGAUUAGCCAGUUGGCAGGGUAACGGCCCACCAAAGCGACGAUCAGUAGCCGACCUGAGAGGGUGACCGGCCACAUUGGGACUGAGACACGGCCCAA